GUGUUCCCUUCAGCAGCACACAUACGAAAGUUGGAACGACGUUCAGAUUAGCAGGGCCCCUACACCAGGAUAGCACGCAGACUCGUGGUGUUCCAUAUUUUU
Panthera leo (lion) is the source of this 102-nucleotide small nuclear RNA. The record is from Ensembl. NCBI's taxonomy places the organism in Eukaryota, Metazoa, Chordata, Mammalia, Carnivora, Felidae.